AUGGAGGAUGCCGAAAAUCCAUAAGAGAGUAGGUG
RNAcentral lists this non-coding RNA (35 nucleotides) under unclassified sequences. RNAcentral's name for it is "DUF805b RNA". It matches the Rfam family "DUF805b RNA". From Rfam's summary of the family: Bacteroidetes, Chlorobi (1 example), Proteobacteria. Lineage (Flavobacteria) The record is from RNAcentral.